CGCGCAGGCGGUCGUAUAAGUCGAAUGUGAAAGCCCCCGGCUCAACUGGGGGAGGGUCAUUCGAUACUGUUCGACUCGAAGGCAGGAGAGGGAAGUGGAAUUCCGGGUGUAGUGGUGAAAUGCGUAGAUAUCCGGAGGAACACCAGUGGCGAAGGCGACUUUCUGGCCUGUUCUUGACGCUGAGGCGCGAAAGCUAGGGGAAGGCAAACG
This 210-nucleotide ribosomal RNA is filed under the name uncultured bacterium. Its description in RNAcentral is "partial 16S ribosomal RNA". It matches the Rfam family "Bacterial small subunit ribosomal RNA", at positions 568 to 774 of the family's 1533-position model. The record is from RNAcentral.